This is a long non-coding RNA of Macadamia integrifolia, 1796 nucleotides long. RefSeq lists it as uncharacterized. NCBI's taxonomy places the organism in Eukaryota, Viridiplantae, Streptophyta, Magnoliopsida, Proteales, Proteaceae. The record is from RefSeq and is a predicted model, not a curated record. The transcript has 4 exons.
UUCCAAAUUCACUAGGAGAGGGAGAGGAGAAAAUAAUAAGAAGAAGAGAGGAGGAGAAGGAGAGGAAGGAAACGCUUGGUGAAAAGAGCUUGUGCCGCCAUGGUGGUGCUGCAUGCUGCUGCUACAUGUUUGCUGCUACUCUUGAUACUACUGUACACACAAGAAAGAUGUGGAACCGGAGCUAAAGUGAGACAGGAUUUCGACAAAGGUUUUGAGACACUGAGAUGUUGAUGGACAUCACUUCUUAUUUCAGUUAUGAUUGUAUAUGUAAAAGGUACAGCAUGCAUGUGGCUGAAUUGAACCAAAUCCAUGCAUGCAGUCAAAAUUCCCAAUUUUUGGGUGAUUGCAUGCUUGGAGCUUGGUUGGAAUAUUAUUUACAUGCAUAUAACCUGUUGUACAGCAGUAUAGAGAGAUGAAAUUUACCUCUCCGAAUAGGUACAGCAGCAGCUCAAUAUAUGCAGUAAAAUUUCAACAGGAUUUCAGCUUGGACAGCCCCUUGCACCUCACAUCUUGGCUUGCAUGCAUCCUUUUCUACAGCAGCAGCAGGAUCUCAAUAACACCAGCAAGAGGGCACAGCAGGAGCAGAGAAUACAUGUAGCUGCAGCCCCAAAAAUACACGAACAGCAGUCCUUCUUUCCUUUUAUUCUUCUUCUUCUUUCUCCUUCUCUUCUCUUCUUCUUCUUUUUUCUCCCUUCUUUCUCUUGCUGUCCAAGUGAGAAGAAAUGAGAUAAUGUGGUUGGUGGUGGUCUUUUAUAGCCCCACUAUCCUUGGUGGAAUGUUCCACUAACUUCUAGUAUUAUAUAUAUAUAUAUAUAUAUAUAUUUAUAUAAAUCCAUAAUACUUACAUUAUGUCAUAUUAGUAUAUAUAUAUAAUUAAUUAUAUACUCAUCUUUAAUUAAUAAUUUUAAUUUUAUUAUAAAUUUUAUGAUUUAACUUAUUUUAUCAUAACAAACUCAUGGAAAUAAGUCCACAUGUCAAAUUUCAAGAGUGAGACUCAUUUCAAUCAAAUUUGACCAUUUUGUGCAUCUGACAGGUCAGGUUCAGGGCUCUCUAGCCGGUUGGGUCAGGCUUGACUCCCUUGGUCUAUAUCACUGUCCAUUACACCUAACCCCUAUUAUAGGUAUAUUUUAUCUGUUAUCCCAUGCCAGUAUUGGCCCUCUCUGCCUGGUAUCUUGCCUGUCCACAAGGAAGGCAGGAAAAUGAAAUUAGGGUGUUACAAUGGAGUUGUUGUCCAAAGGUUCAAAGCCUCUUACUACUGCCACUGUGUGCUUCUGCUGCUCAGUUCUCUGUUGUACAAACAUAUAGAUUCAGAUGGAAAGAGGAGAAUGGAGAAGGUAACACCAAUUGCCAUUGCUGAUUAUGGCUGAGAAGGGGGUGCAUGCAAAAGGGGCUGCACCUACAGUUGCUGUCCAUGAAGUGCAAGGGUUGCAACAAGUAGGAAACAAGUAAAAGUGGAAGAAAAGUUAUUGUCCAAGUUUGGGAAUUUCUGCUAGAACCUCCCUACUGCUGUACACACACCCCAAAGUUAAUUUCCUAUUUCUAUUUUGCUGUACAGUGGCUAGAUAGGGUAGAAAAUAAAUUUCUGCGAGGUUUCCCAAGCAUGUAGACACCCAAAACUGGGAACCUUGGACUGCAUGCCUUGGAAUUGGCUGGGAAUCAGUCACAGGGAGAGUAAUUGUGAUAGCAUGUUAUGUUUGUGUUAAUUUGGUAGGAUAUAAAAUGAUUGUGGUUCCUGUGACCUAUUUCAGCCAAAUUUGGCUAGAAGUGUAUGAUAAGUAGCCAAAGGUUUGAGAAAA